This 21283-nucleotide long non-coding RNA is filed under the name Ananas comosus (pineapple). RNAcentral describes it as "long non-coding RNA (ACOM_LNC024907)". The record is from RNAcentral. Lineage: Eukaryota; Viridiplantae; Streptophyta; Magnoliopsida; Poales; Bromeliaceae.
AUAAAUAAUAUAUACAUAUAGAAUCCGGCUGGUAUACUAUCAGUAGCACGGAGGCCUCCGUGCUAUCAAGUUGUUUUCAAUGAUACAGCGUCCAAAUCGACGAUUGGCUCCGUUAGACGUGAUCUAUACUAUUGAAAGUUUUUGAAAACUAAAUUUAUAAUUUUUUAACAUCAUUUGGCUAUUGAUUAAAAAGUCUCAAAAUUGACAAUUUUAAUAGUAGAUUUGAUGCGUUUGUGAUUUAACGGUGUAAAACAAUCCAAAUUUAAUGAAAUUUUUAUAGAAUUUUUUUUUCAUUAUUUAGAGUAAGAUCAGUAUCUCUGAUCUGAAAUUCAAGUCUUUUAUCAUCAUUUUUUAUGAGAUUUUUAUUUUCAGCCAUUUAUUUUUAGACUACUCGUUUGAUAGGUAAAUGAUGCUGAAAAAUUAUGAAAUUUAGUUUCCAAAUACUUUCAAUAAUAUAGAUCAAGUCUAACAGAACCGAUCGUCGAUUUAGAAGCCGCAUCAUUGAAAACAACUUGGUAGCACGGAGGUCUCCGUGCUACCGAUAGUAUACUAGCCUAACUCAUAUAUAUAUAGUGUUGAGCUACUGUGCUAUCAGAAGUAUAAAAAAUUUGAUGCUUUUGAUUUUUUGACUCUUGAAUCAAGAAUUGUACGAUUGGGAUGAUUAUGGUCUUCUCUAGAGUUGAGUAGUUCCCAUAGGAUAAUAGUAUUAAUCCAAAGUUUAGAAAUGAUUAAAGGGACUGAUCUAAGGGCCAAUAUAUAUAUAUAUAUAUAUAUAUGAGUGAGGCUAUUAUGCUAUCGGAAGUAUGGAGUCUUCCGUGCUUCCAGCUCGUUUUCGAUGUUGCGAUUUUCGAAUCGUCGAUCGGCUCCGUUAAACUUGAUCUAGAGUAUUUGGAGUACCUAGAAAAUAAAUUUUAUUAUUUUUCGAUAUCAUUUGCCUAGUGAUCAAAUGGGCUCAAAAUUAACAAAUUUUAAUGACCGUAGUGAGCCGUUUGCAAGUUUAACGGUGUAGAAAUAUCCAAAUCACGUGAAAUUUUGAUAGAAAAUUUUUUAUAUUAUAUAAAACAAGAUCAAUAUCUUUGAUUUAAAAUUUUAAUGUCAUAUUAUUACAUUUUGUAAGAUUUUUAUUUUCAGCUGUCGAUUUUGAGCCCCUUCAUUUACUAGGCAAAUAAUAUCGUAAAAUCAUAAAAUUUAUUUUCUAGGUACUCCAAAUACUCUAGAUCAAGUUUAACGGAGCCGAUCGACGAUUCGAAAGUCGCAACAUCGAAAACGAGCUGGAAACACGGAAGGCUCCGUGCUUCCGAUAGCAUAGUAGUUUCACUCUAUAUAUAUAUAUAUAUAUAUAUAGUUGAGCUAGAAUACUAUCGAUAACAAACCGGCUCCGUUGCCACCCAUUUGUUUUCGAUGAUGGAGCCUCCAAAUCGAUGAUCAGCACCGUUGAACAUGAUCUAUACUACUUGAAGUGUUUAAAAAUCAAAUUUCAUAUAUUUUCGAUAUUGUUCUCCUAUCCAUCGAGUGGACACAAAAAUGAACGACUGAAAAUGAAUAUUCUUUAAAAAAUGAUGAUAGGAGUCUUGUAAUCAAGAUUAAGAGUAUAGAGCUUCUUUUAAAUAGUUUAAAAAAUUUUCUAACGAAAAUUCAAUUGAUUUGGAUAUCUUUACGUCGUUAAACGAGAAAACGCAUAUCGACCAUUGUAAAUUAUAAAUUUUGAACCCUUUGAAUAUAGGCCAAAUAUGUCGUAAAGAUUUGAAAUUUUAUUCUAACACUUUAAGUGGUUAGGAUACAUGUCCAACAGGUGGUCUCAUCGUCGAAUUGGAGCCUCUAUCAUCGAAACAAAUAGGUGGCUACGGGCGUCCGUUGGCCUAUCGAUACGUAUCUCUAGCUAACUAUAUAUAUUAUAUAUCUAUAUAUACUAUAUAUAUAUAUAUGAACUAGGGCUACUUAGCUAUUAAUAAUAACAAGUCAUUGGUGUAUCAAGUUUUGACAUUGAUAUACAGAGAUUGUAUGGUUAAGAUAUUGGGCCCUCUAGGGUUUCGUGGUGCGUUCUGUGGUGAAUAAUAUGAUCUAUACGGAGUGAAAUUAUCAAAAUGGCUAGAUCUAACGCUGGAAAACUGGUUAGGCACAAGGUUUCAUGUGAUUAAUAGCAUAGUUAGCUCGGGACCUCAUAUAAUAUUAUAUACUUAUAGUAUAUAUUAUAGUGAUACUAAUAUGAAUGAGUCGCUAUGCUUUAAAAGUACAAAUCAUUGGAUGUUGUAAGUUCGAUCUCUUGGAUUAAAGGAUAUACGGUUAGAUAAGUGGCCCCCUUGUGGUUAAGUGGGUGUGGUUGAAUAGUAUAACCUAACGGAGAAAAUGAUCAUAAGUCGUAAUAUUAAACGGGUAAAAAAAUUCAUCAAGCACCAAGUGCUUGGUGCUUUCUUACAAGACACCAUAUGCGGACUUAUAAUAAUAGAUAUACUAAUAUAUAAAUAUAUAUAUAGACUAGAAUACAUUCAAAAGCACCAAUGAGGUGGUGCUUUUGAGUUUUUAAACAUAGAUAGAGGAAUGUAAGGUGUUGAUGAUGGUGGGUAGGUGGUGGUAGGUGGAAUAGUAUUUGCUCAAGGCUAUUAGUAUGAAGGAAUAGAUCCAAGGCUAGAAACCUAAAAGCAUUAAUGGAGUGAUACUUUUUAAAGUAUUCUAGCUCAAUUAUAUUAUAAUAUAUAUAUAUAUAUAUAGAACUUGUGCUGAAUACUAUAUUUAUAGCACCAAGUUAUUGUACUAUUAGUUUUUAGCCCUUAGAUUAAAAAUGUGCGGUUAGGAUGAUGUGGGCCUCUAGAGUUGAGGGGGUAGUUGGUUGAAUAGUAUAAUUUAACGGAUAAAAAUAAUCAAAAAGGUUAAUCUAACGUAGAAAACUUGAUAGCACCAAGUGUUUGGUGCUAUUAUAGCAUAGCAGUGGGACUAUAUAUAUAUAUAUAUAUUAUAUAUAUAUAUAUAUAUAUAUAUAUAUAAAAUCCAACUAUUAUUCUUUUAAAAGGACGGAUGACUUCGUUCUUCGAAGUCGUUUUAGAUGAUAGAGAUUUCGAAUCAAUGAUCGGAACUGUUAAAGUUGAUCUAAAGUAUUUAAAGUGUUUAUAAACUAAAUUUCAUGAAUUUUAAAAAUUAUUUACGUAGUGAUCAAAGGAUCAUAAAAUCGAUAGUUUUGACGGUCUAUAUGAGUCAUUUACUUGUUGAAUGGUGUGGAACAAUCCAAAUAUAUGGUUUGAAUUUUUGAUAAAUUUUUUUUUAUACUAUUUAGAUAGUGAAAACUCGAUCAUGAAUUGAAAAAAUAUAACAUCUAUUUUUUUCAAGAUUAUUUAUUUUUUACCGUUUAUUUUUCAACACUUCAAUGAAGUUGAUAACAAAUUUUAAAAUUUAUGAAAUUUAGUUUCUAAACGUUAUCAAUACUUUAAAUCAAAUGUAACGAUUCCGAUCAUCGAUUCUAAAUUUCUAUCGUCUAAAACGAUUUAGGAAGACGAAAACCUCCAUCCUCCUAAAAGGAUAGCAAUUGGACUAUAUAUAUAUGUAUAUAUAGUAAAUUGUGAACACUAAAUUAUUAUUACAUAAAAUAUACGAAUGAUCGGCCAAUAAACUUAUGUGCAUAACGAAAUGAAAAACAAUACAUAGAAUUACCAAAGGCGGUAAGAGGUGAGAAUUGGUGAAGGUGGGUGUCGAUUUCACGGAAUGGUGAGAGCUGAGAACCGGCUCUGAUCUCGUAUUACUCGAAAGAUCAAUCUGACGGAAAAUAAUAUAGAAUAUAAUUUUAAAAAAAUAAGCACCAUUGUAAGCACAAUGUUGCUGAGAUUUGCAGUAGUUACUCUCUAUCAACUUAGAAUUGAUAAGAAUGAAAUUUCAUUAAAAAAAAAAAAAGAAUGAAAUUUCAAUAUUAUAAGGCAAAUCACACCACCAUUAAUCAGCUUGAUUUAGCAAAUCUAGGUGGCUAUAUAUGAAAGUUCAUUAAGGCACGAAAAUGGCUACCUUAAUUUUGAAAACCAUGCAAUGCUUUUGAUAACAACAUGUUUAGUGAUAAUAUCGAGUUGUCAUGGAAUCCAAACAACAGUGAGGCAUUGUGUGUAGAAGACAAAAGAUCUUAAAUCUUUGUUUUCUCGGCGCAAAAACUGCGACCUCACGCGUAGCACGGUCUGGCCCGUCGGCGGCCGGAGUGAUGUCCCUCAAUCGAAGUUUGGAUCUGACUUAAUCUCAGGUGCGGACCAGAGAGGAAACGAUCCAGCUCGAGGUCUUCACGCUCGAUCUCACCGAAGGGCUUGUUGCUUUGGCUUUCGAGCUUUGACGGCUGUCCCGGCCGAAGUGUCGAUAUAGAACCACUGUAGCAUAGAGGUUCUUGAGUCCACAAGACUGGACGGAUAAAGGUUUGCGGCGUGCAGGUGCGUUCACCGGCGAAGAUGAGGUGAUUUGACAUUGGUGCAGGAGCUAAAGGCAGAAGAUGUUACAAGUUACGUUACAACUACUCCUAGAUUACGCCGUAGCUACUGCUUCUACAAUAAGGGGCUGUUUGGUUGGAUAUAGUUGCAAAAACAGUGUAGUUAAAAAUACAUGCAGUUACAAAUGCUGCAGUUGUAACUACGCCUAGUCUGUUUGGUUUUACACAGUUGCAACUGCUGCAGUUAUAUUUCUUCUGUUUGGUAAUAUGAAGUUGAUAGUUGUAUUUGUAAAUUUUGUCACCUUUUCAGAUAGAGUGGUGAAAUUACCUUCACUAAACAUAAAAUAAUUAUAUAAAUUUAUUAAUCAUUUAAAUUUACUAUUUAUAAAUAAAUAAGUAGAUAUAUAUAAUAUUCUUCAACUUAUUAAUCGACACAUUUAAAACUUUUAAUUUAUUUAAUUUUAAUAUGUAAAUCAAACUUUAAAAUUUAAACGAUUCUCUCAUUUUUUUUAUCAAAUUUAAUAAUUAUAAUUAAUUAAAACUUAUUAAAUUAACAUACACGAUCACAUUCUAUAAAAAUUUUUUUAAAAAACUAUAUUUAUAUUUUAAAUAAAAUAAAUUUAAAAAAUUUAAUUUUUUGCACAAAGCUUGUAUUGCCUAAAAAAUUUUAUUUUAUUAGUAUGAGUUUAUUUACAAGUAUUUUUAUUUACCUAUAUAUAUAUAUAUUAUUUAUUUAUUUAGAUAUUUAUUUAUUUAUUUAUUUAUUAUUGUUAAUUUGUGGGUGAUCCUAUCCCUCACCAACUGCUGCAAUUGAAAUUACGGCCAAUUUGGAUGUAGUUCCAACUGCAGCAUUUGGAUCUUCUUGUGUAGUUGGAACUGCAGCAGUUGAGGCUGCACGUAUUUGCAACUGCACUGCAGUUGUAAAUGCGUGCAACCAAACAGCCCCUAAGAGGGACUGACUGUGCCUCCGAUAUAGACUGAUCGUCUUGGUUGAUUUUCGCAUCCCUUUUGGUGCGGUCUCGUUCUGUCUCUCUUACAGUCAUAUAUGUAGUCAUAAUUGGCAGAAUAAUUUCAUGUUUCGCCACUUUUCUUUUCUCAACUAUUCCUAACUCUUCGGCCUCGAUCAAUUCGAAUUUUCGACUACUUAUUCAUUAGAACGCACCCGCUUUUUCAUUGUCGAUAUCGGAAGUUCAAAUUGCCUGCUUUCGGCAUCUCUCCUUGUCGAAAUCUUAUUUUAUGCUUUCUCGACCCCUUCAGUGCUUACUUCAGUUAAAACGAAAAAUGUUACUUGGUUGAGAAAAUUUUCUUAAAUUUGAACCGAGAUACCCUCUUGUACUCAGAAUUGUCUAAUGUUGUUAGACCAAAAUGAGUUAGGACGAAUAUAUAUACAAAAAUGUGUCCCUUUUUCUCGUGGGGUUGUUGAAAUCUUAUCUUUUUUUGAAUCAAUUAAAUCUUUGCGAUGGAUGAUCGCUUUCAAUAAUAAACAAAAUAUGUUUCAACUUCUGCACUCAUCAGAUCCUUCUCCUGCAAAUCCAAACAAAGCCUAAAUUGCGAAGAGCACAACUUUAUUUCUUUUGUUCUAUUCACUACAACAGAAUUAGGUUAUAGGGACACAUGUUUGGGACACUUUUGAGUAAGUGUCCCAUUUAUGCUAAAACUUAAAAAAAUAUUUACUAAUGCCUAAAUAUAAAGCCCAAUCCAAUCAAAAAUAAAAGAUUACUCUACUCAACCCAUCACAUCCAGUCCAUUUGGUCUGAUUACAAACAGAAAAGAAAAAAAAAAGAAAAAUCAAUUACCAUUUUUUUCUUCUCUCUUCACUCAAUCCACUGAAAUUCUAGACGAAGAGCCUUUCCUGUCGUCCUCCUCCGCCACCGCAGCCAACGAGAUAGAGUUUCGGCGGUUUUUAAAUGCUUAAAUAAGUGUUGGUAAAUUAGCAGCACUCUUUUAGGUUAUAGCGACACUCUUUAACUGUCACUAUAUACCUAGUGACCCCACAUAUAGCAAUACUUUUUAAAAGUGUCGGUAAUUUUAGCUAGCAGCACUUUUUUGACAUGUACCUAUAUUUAAAAGUGUCGCUAUAGACCGUUUUUUUUGUAGUGAUUGUUCUAACGUGAUGAGAUUUAUUUGAUAGACCCAUGGCUAUAGGCCCAAUAUUCCGUGUCCAUCAGUUGCCCACUUAAGCCGACAAUAAAUCUGUCCACUAUUUGGAUGUAUAAAUAUUUUAUUUAAUAUAUCUAUUUUAUUUAGCAUAUCUAUGUGCAUUUUUUGCAUCAUUAAUGAGAGCCCAAACGAAAAAAUUAGAAAAGAUUCAAAGUCAAAUAAAGUGGCUUAAGAUGAAUUAAAUAUAAAAUUGUCACGAAUCUUUAUAUAUAUAGUAGUUCCUCGCAUUGAUAUCCGCCUUUUAUAUAUAUAUAUAUAUAUAUAUAUUCCGUUUUAGGUAGGAAAAGAUUUACAUCCCAUUUGUAAUUAUAAAAUAAACUACAUUAUCUAUGGUGUUGAAAGCGUUAUUUUCUCUAAUAUUAAUUGUUGAAAUGAAUACAAUGAAAAAAAACAAAAUAUAAAAAUAUUUUGUGUUUGAUAAUGAGUCGAUUAGGAAAUAAGAUAAUAAUAACAAUAAAUUAUUAUUCUUUAGACUUUUACGAUCACACUAAGAAAUAAAAGAAUAGUUUUUAAUAUUUUUCUCUCCUAUUAACUCAGUUUUGCCUUAAUGCAUUAAUUAGUUGGCCCUAAAUGGACAGCUAGAAGGCUUUAAUUAAGCCUACCACUCUUUACCUGACCUGAUUUUAAUUAUUAUCACACAAUGCAAAAUCAUAUUGUGAGUAUAUUUUAUUAUUAAAAUAUAUGUUUUUUAAUUCGUUAUAUCUAAUAACAUUUGAUUGGACAAGACGAUUCAUGUAACUGUUGCAUAUCAUAACUAUUUGACCAAGCUAAUUUAUUGUAAACCACGAACGAACCCGUUUCCGAUCUCACGGUACAAAAUGAGGGAUAGUAGAAUAUAAAGAAUAUAUUUAGAACUGUUUGGUUGCGUAAAAUUAGAAUUACCUUGUAAUUGUAACCUUAUAAAAUUUCAAAAUAUGUCAAAACUAGUAUUUUUUUUAUUAUAAUGCCUAGAGAGAGUUAUAGAAACUAAAAAGUAAAAAAAAAAAAGAAAAAGUAAGAUUAAAAUAAUAAACAAAAACUUUUUAAAUAAAAGAUGUGUUUUUUUUUUUAAUUUUAAUCGUCCAACUCAGCCUAUAGGAAUGGGCCUCUGUUUUGUUUACUCUUCUUCACGUCCAUCGAAGCUUCUAAAUUACGCCGCAACCUUUUUAACGCGCUUCUACACGUGAAUCGACCGAAGCUCUCGACAUUUGCUACAAUUGGACUACGUGGCUUGAUGCCAUUGGUUACUUUGGUAUUGUAACCAAUCAAAACUUUCCACGUAAACAGAUCUGUAGUUAUCCUAUCCUCAGGGGUUGUAGCGGAUCCUCAAUACGUACGGCGUUUCUCGCACUCUCGCUCUCUCUUUCUCUCUCUUCCUAGGGUUUAUGCCCCCUCUCUCUCUCUCUCUCUCUCUCUUUCUCUCUCUCUCUCUCCCCGAUCCCCGUAUCCAAAUCGCGAUCGCGAUCUCCGGAGCUUGCGUUAAUGGAGUCGAAGUCGACGGGGCGCUUCACGCUGGGGAGGCAAUCGUCGCUCGCUCCCGACCGCGGCGGCGGCGGGGAGCUCGAGCCCGUGCGCUCCGAGGGCUCCAAUGGCGGCGGCGCCCUCGCGGAGAUCGGCGCAGAGAUCCGCCUCAUGUACCUCGCGAACGAGGGCGACAUGGAAGGGAUCCGCGAGCUCCUCGACUCCGGCGUCGACGUCAACUUCAGGGACAUCGACGGGCGCACCGCGCUCCACGUCGCCGCUUGCCAGGGCUUCGCGGACGUGGUCGAGCUGCUGCUCGAGAGGGGGGCGCAGAUCGAUCCCGAAGAUCGGUGGGGAAGCACGGUGGGUUUCGAUGAUUACCUCUUGCUUAGAUUCUUAGGGUUUAUUAGUUGCGGCUAAAAUUCGGUCUUUCGCUUGCGAUUGCAUGGUUUCGAGUUGAUUGUAGGAGUGAAACGAAUGCCUUUUGGUAAUUGCUGAUUCUAAAUAUUAAAAUUAGUGGAAAGGAGGGUGUUUUGUUUAACAUUGAAUAUAAUUGAUGAAGAAUGUGUUUGAUGUUUGAUGUGUUUAUUAAAAAUUACUGCAUGAAAAUAGCCAAUUUAAUGUAAUCAAAGCAUGCAGGGCGAUAGAAGUAUAUCCAGUUCAUUGAAUUGGUGCAUUUUUUCUAGUUUAAUGUUAGAAUUCAUUUAUAAAGGUGCACGAAUACCUUCGCAAAUCCACAGAAAUUGUAUAAAAUUAACUGGCUUAGGGAAGUGCUGCAAGGCAUGGAAGGGAAGAUAACAAUAUGCCAGCUUUUGUGAAAAGAAAUUUUGAUAAGUAUAAGAUGGCACAACUAGAAGUUAAAAUUUUCACGUGCCAAUUUAUGUUACAGAGUUAAAAUUUUUGCUAGCAAGUUUAUGUUAUAGACUUUUGAAUCUCAACGCUUUGCACAAACUUGAGAAAAGAGAAGACACAAACUGAAGGGAUAUAAGAUUAGUGCAAAGAAUGUCAUGGAGGAUGCUUUGUCUUCUCGCAUUCUCAAAACCCAUCUUUCUGAAAUCUUCUUAUCAAAGGGAGUAGUGAAAUCUCUUGCUGCCACAAUCUCGAUGAGAUCUAUAAAUUAUUCAGCCAUAUGUAGUCUGCAAAGUGUAGCUUAAAAAGUGUAUUAUAUUGCACUGAAAGUGAAAUCAUGAAUUUGUGUUUUAUCCUCCUAUAAUCACAUGUAAAGGGAUCUUAUUGGUAGGCUUUAGACUUAUUUCUUGCUGUUGUCUAUAAAUAGCCAUUAGGAGAUGCAAUACAUUACAAGAACCAUGAUGUGAUCAAGCUUUUGGAAAAGCGUGGUGCUAAACUUAAGGUAUGUCAGGCAAGAUAUCUAAUCUAUUUGUCAUGAAAAUUUGGCCAUUUUUUCUUUCUUCAAGUGACUUGUCACAGUUUUGACUGUUCUCAAUUUGCUUUCUAAUGAAGAUAGCUCCAAUGCAUGUUGAUAAUGCCCGCGAAGUUCCAGAAUACGAGAUAGACCCAAAGGAACUUGAUUUUAGUAACAGCAUCCAUAUAACAAAGGUACUCACAUCCUUCCUACCAAAAAAUAUUUUCUUUAUCUGACAAGCAGUCCUGUUCGAGAUUCUCUUUCAUAGUCUCCUUUUUUUCUUCUGUUACUUGAUUAAGUGGUCAAUACAUUCUGCUAAUAGUAACCAGUAUAAGCCGACAAACUGUUUUUUUCAUGCUUUCAUUUUUUUAAAAAACUUCUAUCACUAUAACUCUUUACUUUUUUUUUGGUCAAAUCACGUAGCAUAGACCGAAAUAGUGUAUGUAUUAUCUCUAACUGCUUUUCACAUAGUCGGCAUAAGUUUCAAUCUCUAAUAGCAAGCAAAAUUAGACUCGGAUAUCUUUCUGCUAAUAUUAAGUUUAAAAUUAGACUCACAUAACCACGCUUAUUUUUCUGGUAACUUCUCUGUUUCUGUUUAUAUCUCUCAAUUUUUUUUAUUUUGAAAAAAGAUGUUUGUAACUCCCUAUCUAUUAUAUUGCCGAAACCCUGCUUUUACAUUCCACACUAAUUUAAUUUAGUGUGUAAAGUUGUUGUAUUUUCUUAUUGUGUGUUUGACACAACCUUCUUUCUUCAGGGUACAUUUCGUAUAGCAACAUGGCGUGGAAUUCAAGUUGCUGUGAAGCAACUUGAUGAAGAUCUAAUUACAGAUGAAGAUAAAGUGUGGGUUUGUCCCAUUGAUAUAGAGGAUUCCUCAUUUAGUUUCUAUAUAUGUCUGUAUGCUGCAAAUCUUCAUAACUUUUAUUCUUAGCCAUCUUUUAGCUUACAUUUUAAAACUUUUUCUGUACAUUACAGAAGGGCAUUUAGGGAUGAACUUGCCUUGCUUCAACUAAUACGGCAUCCAAAUGUUGUCCAAUUUCUGGGUGCUGUUACUCAAAGUAGUCCAAUGAUGAUUGUCACAGAGUAUUUGCCUAAGGUUGUUAUUCCUUUUCCAAAUUAACUGUUUUUAAUAUAAUAAUUCUGCCUUUGUAUUUUUUUUUACCCGUGAAUUUCAAAAUAUUUUAAGCUUGAUUUGUCAUCCUUGGUUUCUGCCUUCUUACGACACUUUUUGCUAGUUCUGAAUCCAUCCAGACAGAAUUUUGGAAAUUGUACACUUAACCAACUCGUUAGUCACCUUAUGGAGGAACUGCUGUUUGUCUUCUCUUAUAACUGUUACAUGUCUCCGCUGCUUCAGUAGUUUGUUGAUUGUAUAGACCGGGGUUUUUUUUUUCUAUACUUUUUCUUUCAGGUUUCGUUUUUGACAUCAUAUUCAUCAUCUUUGCAAACUUGGUUGAUUAACUUUCAAGGUGUCAAAAACUGGAAUAUAAACUUGUGCUUGUUUAACAGAAAGUUAUUCAACUAUGGUUGCUUUAUUUUUAGAUGCAUAAAAACAUGCUUUAUUGUAUUUUUUUAUGAUGACAUACAUAUUUUGCUUAUAUAAUUUGCAAUUUGCAUAUUCGCAUUUGUUUAUACAGCUCUGUAUCUGUUUUUAUGAAUAACUAUGUAAUUCCUUUUAUAAUUCAUUCUGCUAUGCAGGGCGAUCUUCGUGCAUUCUUGAGACAGAAGGGUGCAUUAAAGCCAACAUUGGCGGUUAAAUUUGCCCUUGAUAUUUCAAGGUUUCUUCACCUAAUACUGUCAAUAAUCAAUAUCUCUACUUCCUGCUUCUUGACAAUAUUUCUUUGCUAAUUUUAUGUUUGAGCACCUCUUCUGUUUGUAUAACUAAACUGUUUUCUUUCGAACCUACUUUUAUUUCAAAACAUUCCAGGGGAAUGAAUUACUUGCAUGAGCAUAAACCAGAAGCCAUCAUCCACCGUGACCUUGAACCUUCGUGAGUGACUACUGCCUUAUGAGCUUCCUGGAUAGUCUGACUUGUUGAAUAUUGUUUAACUUUAUCUAUUGUGAGUUAACAGAAAUAUACUACGAGAUGAUUCUGGGCAUCUGAAAGUUGCAGACUUUGGUGUUAGCAAGAUGCUGAAGUGGAGGAAAAAAGUUAAAGAAUAUAGGCCAUUGGAAUGUCAAGACGCUGCCUGUAAGUAUACAUAAAUUUUCUUCGAUAGUAGGAUUACAUUAUUUUAAUUGGAAGUUAAAAUUUUUGUUAAUGAUGUUGUAGUGUAUUAGCAUUUGCAUGAACUUACGAUGCUUCUACUUUUUUCCGUGCUGAACCAACCGCUUUUUUCUACGUGUUGCCAUGUGUAAAUCUCAGUAGUUUUGUUUUAUUACUGUGACCUGUCACCUAAAGAGGAGAAAAGGUUUUCUCCGAAGUCUAAUUUUGAAGCUGAAUGCUGUCUCAUUCUUUUCAUUUUCAUUUUUAUAUUUAUUUCUUUCUUGACAAUAAAUUGAUAAAAAUACUAUCAGGCAGGUAUAUGGCUCCCGAGGUAUUCCUUAAUGAAGAGUACGAUACAAAAGUGGAUGUCUUUUCUUUCGCUUUGAUUCUACAAGAGGUAAAACAUCCUAAAGCUUUUCAUGCUGAUAUAGAUCUCAUUCAGGUUAGAUUAACCAAAUUGUAUUGUUGGUCCCUACAGGAGGAUCCCUCCUGUAGGGAUCUUUGCUGGAGAAGUUAAACCCUACAGGAGGGAUAAAUUCCCCGCUCUGUAAAGUCUAUUUGCUAGAGUAGUUGAAUUGUUUCCAUUCUAAAUGCUGUUAAUAUUAUUUUCCUCACCCCUAUGCCUCAAACAUGAAACCUAUUAUUAACCUAGUCUUGUUUGUUAAGAGAUUAGUUAACAUCUUAAACUUUGACCUUCCCCAUUAUUUCUAACCCUAUUGUUGUUUCUCAGAAUAGGUCCGCUGUAAUGUUCUUAAUAUCUUGCAGAUUUUCAUCUUCACAUUGCUUUUAUGGUGGAAGAGUUGUUAAAAGACCUUUUUACUAAUAUUUUUUUUUUUCUCUUUGGUCCAUUUAUGAUCUAGAUCAUUGAAGGGUGCUCUCCGUUUGCCAAUAAAAAGGAUACUGAAGUGCCAAAAGCAUAUGCAGCUAAAGAAAGGCCGGCUUUUAGAGCUCCUAUGAAGCAUUAUUCGCAUGGAUUAAAAGAGUAAGUUUUCCAAUGACUUCAAUGCCCCGUUCCGUAGGUCUUUUAUUGGCUGUAUGGUCCAUCCAUUUCAGCUGGCCUCCUAUACUAUCAACUAGGUCAAGAUUAUUUAUCAUUUUAAGUUACUGGGUGGAAUGUUACUGAUAAAUUAUAACGGCAUAUCUGUACUAAAUGGUGCUUUUGCAUAUAUGUGUAGCUAGCUCCUUGUUUAUAAGUUUAAUUCUUAUCCAUUGCUACUAUUGCUAAUUAUCCAUUCCUGCGUGUGGUACAUAAUAUUGUUCAUUUUGGAAUGACACGGUGUAAUCUCUUAUUUGUGCAGGUUAAUCGAGCAAUGUUGGAGCGAGAAUCCUUCCGACAGACCUCCUUUUAGAACAAUAAUCAAUCUUUUGACUAUAAUUCAAAGUGAAAUUGCUCACAAGAAGCGGUGGAAGGUAUUGUUAACAACAUGAUUUCUUGUUUUACCAGAUUUUCUGGUGGUUAUUCAUUUAUUGUAUAUCCAUUAGUUCGGGCAUACCUUUUAUUCCUGUUAUUAAUAUUAUACUUCUAAUGACAUUUGGCAUGUUUAACUGAACCUUUUUCCUUCUAUUUUUUUUUCUUAACUACCAGGUGAGACCCUUAAAAUGCUUCCACAACCUAGAAGCCAUGUGGAAGAAAGAUCGUUCUAACAGUAACAGCCGAUCUUCACGUUCAUCCAAUUCGAAUUUGUGAAGUUUCCAAUGAUCUGCUUUUUCUGAAGAGUAAAUUCAAAUAGAGUGAAUGAGGAGCGACUUCAGCAUCAAAUAUGUUGCAUAAUCUAUUCUUAAACCUUGGCGUUCGAUGCUUGUUGGUAGGCUUAUGCAGGGCCCUACGACUGUUGGUAGAACAAAAAUCCUGCAAAAAUCUGUCAUUCUAUACUUAUUCGACCAUGUAUACAAUAUGUACCAUGUGAUAUCUUUUCCAAAUUAGGAAAUAAAUAUUGAUUGUGUUAUCGUGUGUACGAAACAUCGAAAACUGUGCCAUUUCAUGUUUUUUUUUUUUUUUCUCGCAAACUGCGAGUGAUGUACUAACAAAAUAAAGUUGAAAGUUCCAUCUCGUCCGUUCACGAUUUUCUUCGUUUGCAUGGUGAUUCAGAAUCUGUUCCAUUCGCCAUGUUGCAAUUUACUGCCUUUUCUGUUUGAGGAACGGUGAAAGCCCUAGGUUGAUCCUCAAACUUUAUUUUGUUAGUAGGGACAUUUGUUAUUCGAUGUAUUCCGACCGACGGAUAAUAGUGCAAUCCACGGUAGUAAACAUAAAGCAAAAUUAGAUUUUAUGACAAUCAGGAAUUAGAGUGUGAUAUACGGUGAAAAUUCAGGAACUCAAUUUCUGAGAUCAAAACACAUGAAGCAAAUUAAAAGGGCUCUCCAUACCUUAUAUUCAGCAUAUGAAUUUUAUGAUUGUUCAGAUACAAACGUAAUAAAAAAAAAAAAAAAAACACUCUCCACUAUGUCUCAAACAAAUAACGCACAUACUUACACUUUAUCUGAUCCACACAAAACACUAAUAAGAAUCACUUCCAAAGCAAAGCAAUAAGCAUGAGAGCUACUAAAAAUAUCCCCACAAUUCAGAGGCUUAUGUAUGACUUAGACCUGAGCUAGACGGCGGAGAUCCAUCGGGUGCGCAUCGGACGGCGACUGCGCGCUGUACGAUCGCUUACCGACGAUUAUGUUCGUGGCUUCGGUAGGGUGGAAUGCGUCCCAGAAGAGGUACUCAUCCCUGUUGGGGCACGGCGCUUGGUAUGGUAGGCAUGUAACUUGGCCAUUGUUCCUUCCCACUCCACAGCAUCCUCUGUUUGUGACCGUUAACCCUGUUAUCAUUAAAAGAAAGAGUUUUUGAGCACCACUGAACCCCUAGAGCCCUGCAAAUUAGUGCGAAAAUGGCUCACCAAAAGAUCCAGCAUCGUUCAAAAUGUCUUGGAAAAUUCCGUAUGCGUUGAUGUACGUGAAAUGCGCGCCGGGUAACGUGUUGAACCCGUCCACAAGCGCGACCAGCUUCUGGUUGAAUAUUUGGAUCGCGUUGUUGAUCCGAUCGACGCAGGUCACGCCGUUCGGGCUCAGCUGAGCCAGCUCGUUCGGGCUGCACCCGACCUGCCCCACUCCGAUCAGCGCCACUUUCCUCGCUCCGUAGUUGUAAAGAGUCUAAUCAAAAUUAUUAUUACUAAUAUUAAUAGCAGUAGAAUUCAACUUGCAAGUACGAAGGCCUCUGUAUCUAGCACCAAAACACCUAAUAAUAUUAAUUAUUAAUAAGAAAAUAUAUAUAUAUAUAUACCGUUAAAUGUUGCGAAUAGCGGUUGAUGAGGUCAUCAGCAAAUUGCUCAGGAGUGUAUUGUCGACCGGUGGAGUAAAACGCAGGCAUGAAGUAGUUGUUGAGGUAGUCGUUGCUCCCCAUUCCCACCGUGAAUAUGCACUUGCUGAGGUAAUUUGCAGCCGAGUCCUCGUCUCCCAGAAUAUUUACGACUUGCUGCACUGCGGCUUGGUAGUUUUGCACUUGGCCCCCGAAACUUAUCCGACCGCCCUGUCGUAGUGGAUUCACAAAAGUUCAGGGAUUUGUUUGCAAAAGUUUUAAACUAGCUCCCGGUUAGCCAGUAACCACUUUUUAUUGCUAAUGGAAAAACUAGCUCUCAAAAUUGUACAUUUGCCGAGAGGAUCGUGGGCGCGUAAUUAACAACAUUGAAACUCAGUAUCUUAUACUCUGAUGUCAUGUAAAAUAUUUUUUUGCUUUUCUUUAAGAGUUUUAGUCACACAUAAAAUUGCAUAUAACAAAAAAAAAAACGUGUACAAUAUAUCAUAAUUGUGUUAUAGAAAUAUGCAUGUAUACAUGAUGGGGCAUAUAUAUGGAAUGUGAAAAAAGUACCAGUUGCUGCCCGGUUUCUUCUCUGAUUCCGGCGGCGGCGGAUGCGAAGUUAACGCCGGUGAGGAGUUGGUCGCCCCUCGCGCCUGCGUACGGCGGGAUGAGAUCGUCGAACCCCAACAGUUGAGCUUCGCAAUUUGGACAAAAAUUUUCCAUCAAUUGGCAUUCUAUUUGGAAUUACAAAUGCAAAUUAACCUAAUCUAACUCCACCCAAAUAUUUUUCUACAAAUUAAUGACAUAAUUUAUAAUCCCAUUUUUAAGUACAUUGAAAAAUUAAAUUUUAUUUGCCCCGGAAUGUUGAAACUACGAAAUAUGAUUAAGUGAAAAAUCGAAGAAAUAUAUAGUAAUAAUAUAUAAGUUAUUUCUAUGUCAAAUUAUUUUCAAUGUUCACAUUUCCUUUGUUACUGACUCUUUUUUUUGAGUAAAGCGAACAAGAGAACGAGACAUAACAUGUGACCUAAUAAAUUGGGGCUAGACCCAAUUUAUGUGUCAACGACUUUGCUCAGAGUGACACUACAAUGCACAACAAUAUAUGUACACUAUCCUUUUGAUAUAAAUAAUAUAUAUAGUUUAAUUUUGUGUUACGUGCACUCAUACUGCAAAUAUUUUAGUUUUUGAACUUUCACGUGUUUUAAUUAUAACAUAAAUUUAGCAAGCGAAUAACUAGUGAUAAGAUUCACUGAGUUGUUUGAUUUGUCAAAAAGUUACUGUUACCAACCACCCAAAAUUUACCCAAGAAGGUAACGAGACAUUCUACGUAUAUAGGAAUGUUCAUUCUUAAAAUGAAUAGGACAUGUAGUUGGAACACUACUACUGUAUUUUUUUUGCAGGUUGUAAACCUGAAAAAAAAAAAAAAGAAAAACGAAAAAAAUGACAUGACCUUAUCGAUCUAUACAUUCGAUUGGUUAGGUGUAGAGAUAUAAUAGAUUGCUUAUUAUUUGGAGGAACAAUUAAAUGUUACUAUAUAUAUAUAUCCCAUACAAUUUUGAGGUGACAAGGAGCUAGCAAAUGAUAUUUUAUUUAUCGAACAUCUCGCGAUUAUUCUUNAAAAAUUAAACUAUUGAUUAUAUAAUGUCGAGAAUUUCAAUCGGCUCGUUUAGAGCUCGAGCUCAGCUCGACUCGAAAUUAGGCUCGCUCGAGCUCGGCUCGAAUUAAUUUCAAGCCGAGCUUGAGCCUAGAUUUAGGCUCGAAAUUAGUUUCAAGCCGAAUUUGAGCUGACAUAAGCUCGCUCGAGCUCGGCUCGUUUCCACCCCUACACUACAAUGCACAACAAUAUAUAUACACUAUCGUUUUGAUAUAAAUAAUAUAUAUAGUUUAAUUCUGUGUUACGUGCACUCAUACUGCAAAUAUUUUAGUUUUUGAACUUUCACGUGUUUUAAUUAUAAUAUAUAAAUUUAGCAAGCGAAUAACUAGUGAUAAGAUUCACUGAGUUGUUUGAUUUGUCAAAAAGUUACUGUUACCAACCACCCAAAAUUUACCCAAGAAGGUAACGAGACAUUCUACGUAUAUAGGAAUGUUCAUUCUUAAAAUGAAUAGGACAUGUAGUUGGAACACUACUACUGUAUUUUUUUUGCAGGUUGUAAACCUGAAAAAAAAAAAAAAGAAAAACGAAAAAAAUGACAUGACCUUAUCGAUCUAUACAUUCGAUUGGUUAGGUGUAGAGAUAUAAUAGAUUGCUUAUUAUUUGGAGGAACAAUUAAAUGUUACUAUAUAUAUAUAUAUAUCCCAUACAAUUUUGAGGUGACAAGGAGCUAGCAAAUGAUAUUUUAUUUAUCGAACAUCUCGCGAUUAUUCUUUGCAGUACUGGCUCUACGUUCUGCAACCUAUCUCGGUGGAGAAAAGCUUUUCUCUCAGAAUUAUUUAGAAAUCUGCGAUUGCAGGCCACGCAGAAGAGGUAUAGUCGAUCGACCAUGCAUGCAAAUGGUUUGCUUCUGCGGUUGCGAGCCGCACAAACUGGGCUUAAAGAUUCGAAAUCAACCAAUGCAUUGGAAAGAAUAUAUCUACAUUAUUUUUCUAAUUAUGAAAGAAAUGGGGGUUUUGGACUUUUUUUUUUGCAUUUUAAAUAACUCUUAAACAAUCAUUGUCGAGGAAGUACUAAUUAACAGGUAUUUUUGAUGAAAGAGUUUAUGUAGAGAGAGAGAGAGAGAGAGAGAGAGAGAGAGAGAGAGAGAGAGAGAGAGAGAAUCAUAGAGAGGGAAUGUCUCAAUUAACCAAGUGCAUGCAUGCAAGCUAUAUGUACGUACGGAGUACCAAAACAUAUAAAGUAAAAAAAGUAAUAUAAGUUAUUGUACGUUUUAUAACGUAUAAGUCCACAUUAUUAGUCGUACACAAAUUCUUAAACAAUGUCACACUUAAUUAACUAGCUAAGGAGAGCUUAUAAAUUGUUCAACAUACAAAAUCCAACGAAAUGCACGUAGCAUGCAUGGAUAGCUGUAGAUGUUAAAUAUAAAAAUAUAUAAACACCGUUCUCUAAUAGCUUAAGAUUUUAAAGUACAACGGUUGUUUCACAUGCUUAUUUAAUUCAAGUUCACGCCAUGUGCCUUGCAAAAAUAAUCUCAAGUCCAAACAUGAGAGGGAGUAUUAAAUAUAAAAAUACAUAAAUACCGUUCUUUAAUAGCUUAAACUUUUAGAAUACAAUAGUUGUUUCACAGUAAAGAGAAUUGGACUUACCAAUAACAUCAACUGUGGUCAAGCCAUUACAGAACCGUCCGGUCGGGCCGUUGGGGAAGUCGAUGCCGUAGGGCGGGUAAUUCGCCCUCGCCAGCGACGCCAUGUUGUUGUUGUUGCCAUUGUCGACAAGUGAGUCCCCGAAAAUGAAGUAGCACGGGACCUCCGGGUCCGACCGGACUGAGCCCAACGACAUCGAGACCAAAGCUAAGAUGAGCACCCACCCAAACCCUAGCCCUCCUCUUAGCUCAAUGUGAGCCAUUUUUCCCUUUUUUGUUACUUACAAGAAGAGUAGUAGUAGUAGUAGUAGUAAGAGUAGUAGUAGCUAGAGAGGUAGUGCAAGGGAAUGAGAGGUGGUGGGGUGUUUUUAUAUAGGGGAGUAGUGUGUAGGUGUUAUGUGAGGGGAAAGGAAUUGGGGUUUUGGUUGGGGUUGUGAGGGUUGGGAUUGGGUUAAGUGUGGGUCCAUGGAAUUUAUUUCCACAAGGGCUUAGUGUGGAGUUAUUGUGACAUGUGGAUGCGUUGGUGGUUAAGAUUGGCCAUAUUUAUUGGAAUAAUAAUAAUAAUUUAAUACUCGACGGUUUCGAUUUCCGAUUAUGAUUUUUUAUCUGCAAUCCAAUCGAACCUGAAUCCGAAAAUCUAGACAGAUUCUUAGAGUUUGUUCGGCGCGAUCAAUUUGGCGACCGCAUCUCAUUAUAUAUGCAUAGUGAGGAUCGAAACCACCAAAUUUGGUGCUUUCACAGUUUAAUCACGAAACUCUCCUUUAAAUGUUAAAAAGUAAAUCUUAUAAAUUUUUACAAUUUUUUUAUUUACUUUAUCCUUUUCAAUUUCAUGUGUAGGCUCUUUAAUUAAUGCACCGCACCCGAAGUGAAGGUGCAACAUGUGCUUAGACACAGCAAGUCCAUUUCGUCGGCUAUAAGUUUACUUCUGAGAAAGUCAACUGGUUCCUUUUUUUCAACAGUAACUAAAUUUUCAUGUACGUACUUGAAUGAAAAUUCUACUGCAUUAAAUGGAUAACUAACUAAGCAGUGCCCAAUUUGACUAUUUUUCCAAUUUUCAACAGCCCCUUCUCUUUAAGAUAGAAUAUUUCUAAAUUACAUCGAUUAGUUUCAUUUCGCUAGCUCCUCAAAUUUUCGAAUUCAAAAGAUUAGCAUACGUAGGUAAAUGAAACAAAUUAAAUUUGCAAUCUUAAAAGACACCAAAAUUAUUAAAUAAUACGAAAUAACCGUUGUUCUUCAAAACACUUAAGCUGCAAGAUCAAAAAUAUCUGACCUUCAGGCUUUUUAAUAGGUUCAUAACAUGGAGAUUCGAAUUCAAAACUUCCUAAUCUGAUACCAUAUUAAAUAGUACAAAAUAAUCAUUAUUUUUUAAAAAUUUAAAUUGGUAAAAAAAUAAUAUUUUUAUAUUUAAAAAAAAAAGAAGCUAUACCUACCAUCAUUGAAUGAGCAAAGAGGAAACAAUUAGGCCAUGCAUGCAGGGGUAGGAAUAGGGGAUUGUGUAGAACAGUGUGUCAGAUACUGAUCAGUGGAUGAUAGGGUCUGAGUUUCUCCCUUGCAGUUAAUGAGGCACAAUGGAAAGUAGGAAUACAUCCUCUCCCCCCUCCCCCACCCACCUCCUACCACAUGGCCUUACUGCCACCUCAAAGAUAGGCCAAACAGACUCUUAUUUAAGUUAUAGUGUAACUUAGAAUCUGUUUAGCCUAUCUUUUACUUUUUAUCUCUUAGUUGCUGUCGACGAUAGUUACAAAAAAUCUGAAGCUUAUAUUGCAGAAAGCCAAAAAAAAUACAUUUCAAGUCUCAAAGAUAAACGUUCUGAUAUUAACGUCUUGUUAUGAAAAUCUUAUUAGUUAACAUCGUACCGUUCUGAACCCAAAAACUAAAAGCUUUGAUUGUUAUCGAGUAAAAGUUUUUUUUUUUUUUUAAGAUAGAUAGCACGCUAUCCGCUUUGUUUAUUUCAUUUGGAAAUAAAUAAACUUAGCUGGAAAUGUAAAUCAACUAGAAUUCGAACUUGGAUCUCGAAUACCAACCACCAAACCUUUUGCCACUUGCUCUAGGGACGGUCGGUGAGUAAAAGUUGAUACAAUCAUAAUAAGAUCGUAUAUAUGUUAUAAAACGAACACCUCCUUUGGUCCCUCUAGGUUCUCGAGACGUCAAAGCUUCAUUAAUUGAUCGUUAUUAUGUAAUUGGACAAGUUACAAAGGUUUAUUUAAAACAACACUAACGAAAAAAAAAAUGGGGGAAAAAAUAGGUGGUGGUUAAUUAUUUAUAGUCGACAAGAAUGUUAAGCAUUUAUUGUGAACUUGGCAUCAAGCGCAAACCAUGCACAUGCAAGGAGAUAUAUAGAUAGGAGAUUACUAAAGUAGGUUAAUCUUAGUUGUUCAUAUUUAUGUUGCAUUAACACUUCUAUAAUUGUUUGCCACACUUACAGAAUUUUUUUGCUGUUCGAAAUUCAAUGCGAGUAGUCGACUGUGUAUGCAAAGACUUCAAAAACUUCAUACAAUUCAGUGUACAGUGUUAAAUUAAUUGAGCAUAUAACAAUCAUGCGUCUCAUUAACAUCAUAACAAAGAAAACGAAAAAAAACAAGUAGUUACAAAAACCAUUUUUACCGCAUAACUAGAGUUCAAAGUUAUCAUCAUAUAUAUAUAUAUAUACAUAGUGAGGCUAUUAUGCUAUCGGAAGCACAGAGCCUUCCGUGCUUUCAGCUCGUUUUCGAUGUUGUGACUUUCGAAUUGUCGAUCGGCUCCGUUAAACUUAAUCUAGAGUAUUUGGAGUACCUAGAAAAUAAAUUUUAUUAUUUUUCGAUAUCAUUUGCCUAGUGAUCGAAUGGGCUCAAAAUCAACAAAUUUCAAUGGCCGUAGUGAGCCGUUUGUAAGUUUAACGGUGUAGAAAUAUCCAAAUCAUGUGAAAUUUUGAUAGAAAAUUUUUUAUACUAUAUAAAACAAGAUCAAUAUCUUUGAUUUAAAAUUUUAAUGUCAUAUUAUUAUAUUUUGUAAGAUUUUUAUUUUCAGCCGUUGAUUUUGAGCCCCUUGUUCUAGGCAAAUGUAUUGUAAAAAUCAUAAAAUUAUUUUCUAAUACUUCAAUAUACUCUAGACAUCAGUUUGAAGAGCCGAAGCCGAUCGACGAUUCGAAAGUCCAACAUUCGAAAACGAGCUAGAAGCACGGAACGCCUUCCGUGCUUCCGAUUGAGCAAUAGUAGACCUCACUCUCUCUCUCUCUCUCUCC